UCCAGUUUCCAGCUCCCACAUCCCAACCACCCCCUACAGAAACGGAGGCGGAGCGCGCGGCUGGCCGAAUCACCUCCCCACCGCCCCUCCGCCGGCCAUCCUCCCACCGCGCGUCCGAAUGCGCUGCCGCCACUUCCUAACCUCCCUUCUCUCCCCCCUCUCAUUCGCAAACCCCCCUUCUCGCCCCCUCGCCAGCCGCGCCCGCGCCGUGGCCCAGCCGCCCGCCCAGCGCCGCGCCGCCCUCGCCGAGCCCGACGUGGGCAUCUCCCGGUUCGCCUCCUCACUCCCCGGCUUCCGCGGCGCCCUCAAGCAGCGCUACUCCGACUUCGUCGUCCACGAGGUCGCCCGCGACGGCACCCUCGUCCGCCUCACCUCCUUCGACCUCCCGGACGAGCGUGCAGAUACGGAUGACGAGGCCGACGCUGACCUCCCGCACGCACUUGAAUCGUUCCGGCUGCUCUGUGGUGACGCCGAUUGUGAGGCGUUGAGGGGAUUUCUGUCGAGGGUUUCAGAAGGUGAUAGUGAUGUCUCACCGAUCAUUCUCUCCCCUGAUGCCGACAAGGCUCAUCGCUUGGAGGUGCAUGACUUCUUCAAGAGGAACUUCAUCUUCUUGGUGACGGACACCGUUGAGCACAGCGAUGGGGUCCAGAGGUGUAUUAGGGUGCGGUUGAGGUCAGGGCCACGUGGCCGGAGGAACAGGACGGGCACAGGAAGUUCUGAACCUUCAGGCUGGAGAGAUGACAGGCCAUUUGAUAGUAGAGGAUCUGUAACCUGGCCUUAUCAUCUUGGGAAGUUUCUCAGGUUUCAUCUCUACAAAGAGAACAAGGACACCCAGGAGGCACUAAGAGUUAUAGGAAAAAUGUUAGGGCUUCAGCCACGAUCUUUUAGGAUUGCAGGGACAAAGGAUAAACGUGCUAUUACAACCCAGCAGGUAACACUUUUCAAGGUACAUGCCAGUAGGUUGGCUGCUCUAAAUAAUAAACUCACUGGCAUUAAAGUUGGAGAUUUUAAUUAUGUAAAGGAGGGCCUUGUUCUUGGUCAACUCAUGGGAAACCGAUUUACAAUUACCUUAAGGAGUGUUAUCGCAGAAUCAGAAGACAUGAUUAAGGUAGCUGUUGAUGGAUUGAUAAAAAGUGGGUUUAUCAAUUACUACGGUCUGCAGCGUUUUGGUAGUGCUUCAGUACCAACUCAUCUCGUUGGUGCUGCUUUGCUUAGAGGAGAGUGGAGAAGUGCUGUUAGCUUGAUUCUUGAUCCAAGGGAAGGAGAGUGUGAUGACAUGAAUGGGGUGAGGGAACAUUACAAGGAACAUGGUGAUAUUGAUGUGGCAAUUAGGAAUUUUCCUCGGCGUCUCAUAGCAGAGAGGGCUAUCCUUCAGCGUUUGAAGAAGUACCCUGGCAACUAUCUACAAGCACUAAUGGCUAUACCUAGAACACUGAGAUUGAUGUAUGUACAUAGUUACCAGAGUUAUCUAUGGAACCAUGCUGCGAGUAUGAGAGCUGGAAUAUAUGGUUUAUCAGGGGUCAUAGAAGGUGACUUGGUUUACAAAAAAGAAUGUCUUGGAGAAGGAACUGUAACAGAUGCUUCAGAAAAUAAUGAUGACCACACCAACACAUCUGAAAUGGACAUAUUUGCUGAAACACUUCCGGAAGAAACGAUCCAGUCUGUCAAGAUAGCUGAUUCUGAAGAUUUAUUGAAGGCAGUGUACACACUCGAGGAUGUUGUCCUUCCUUUGCCUGGGUGAUGAGCAUUUGCUCUCAGAAACAUUGUUUCCUGGAAAUGAAGUUGCUGGGAUUUACCAUGAAAUAGCUAACAAGGAUGGUAUUAGCCUGACAGAGAGCACCCAUGGAGUCAAGUAAGUUAGUUUGUUCCUAUAUAUGUAUGUUGCUUUCUGAAGCUAGUUUAUAGCUCUGUACGAUAAUUGUGAUCAUAAUGGGCCUUUAUAAAGCGGGUGUUCAAAUAACACAUCCAAAGGAAAAAGGGAAGCGUUUCUAGCCGGCUGUCCGUCCGAGCCACGCACCGGCGGCACGCGCACUAGCCACGCGUCAGCCCUGGCCCACCACCCACCGCUCUCGCUCUCCUUAUCUCUGUGAGAAACCAUGUGAGCCAUUCCGUAUUCUUUCUCCAUCUCUAUCGUUCAUUCUCGUCUUCUUCGCGAGUUUUCCUCUCUCUUUCUCUCUCACCUCUGCUAUCUCCCACAUCAAGCUAGUCCCCUUCUCUUUCCUCUCAUCGCCCUGGCAGAACCAUCCUCCCGACAAACUCCGGUCGGCCAACCGCUGCCUUGUGCCUGGGGGUGCGCUGCUGUAAGGGGUGGGAGGGGAGUGACCACCUGGGGGUUCUUCUGCUGUGACGCCACCGGCAAAGCUACGAGCCGUCUUGGCCACGCCGCGAGCGGUAGAACGCUGUUUUAGUAGGGUAGUGGCCAGGGCGUGCCGGGGUGCUGCGGUGCAAGGUAUGAAGCGGUGCUACGGCGGUGGUCGUGGGCGCUGAGACCGGCUGUGACAGAUGCUGUGUCCGACGGCAACAGAUGCUACAACUAAGGGUAGUGACGUUGAACUGCUGCAGCCGAUGACGUCAACUGCUGCGACCGGCGACCGGCGACGUCGACUGCUGCGACCGGCGACCGGCGACGUCGACUGCUGCGACCGGCGACCGGCGACGUCGACUGCUAGCACCGGUGACUUGGGACGCUGGAACUGGCACCGGAGGCUGGGAUGCGAUCGUCAGCCAUGGGAGCUGCAACCGGCAGCAGCCGGUGCCGGAGAUGAAAGUCACCCGAUUGUGGGAUCGUGGCACUAGAUGCUGGAACCGGCCAGCGACAGAGCUGCAACCAUUGGCAGCAGAAGUUGGAACCCACCGGCGAGUCAUUUUUUGCUGGGACCAGCGACUUCCAGUGUUCUGACGGCGAGCCGUUUUGCUGGGUUCGGCUACCCUCACUGCUGCAACCAGCAUCGAGGCUGCUACUGCUGGGUAGCAGCCGGUGGGGAGCUGCAGUGACGAGCCCGACGUCUAGCCGACAAUGGCGAGCUGUUGCGGGAGUGGGGUGGGUGCGCAUUCGCCGCACAGCCACGGCCUCCCAUGUGGCAUGGUGUGGAGGAGAAACGAGCUGGGGUGAAGGGGAUUUUUGCUGUUGACUUUUGGAUCAGAUCUGAGACGUGGGGGAGGAAGACGACAUGCAGUGUGCGGGAUCCAAUGGUUGGCGCUUGGCGAAUUGGACAGCAUACGUGUGACCGGUCGACCGGCGCCUACCACUGGCCAAGGAAAAAGGGGUUUAAAUAUUGCAUUUGGUCACUAAUAUUGUAUCUUUGGCAUAGCUACUGUGUUAUCUUAUUCAUAUUCAUGCAUUUUUUGAUAUAUCAUUUUAAUAUCCAUUUUUGCAUACUAACCGUUGUGCUGGAUGACACAAAUUUCAAUUGUAAGGGAAUUCUCGAUUACAAGCAUGAAAGGAGGUUACCGUCGUGUAUUACAACGACCUAUUGACUGUGAAUGGAUUUUUUUCCAUACAAUUUAGGAUCGGGUUCCAUUAUCAAAGGGGAUAACAGAACAAAACAAGAAAAAAUAGCAUCCAUGUGCAACCACAAGUUGAAUAACGAAAGCUGCUACUUCAUAGCAACCAAAAUGGACCUACUAACAUCGUCACCAACUAGUUUACAACGAAACAACAAAAGGAAGGGGAAACACAAACAGCCCUAUCAAGCUCGAGCACCAAAAUCAAACACUCCAGCAACUUUUUAACUGUUACAACUCUCCAAACGAUACUAGCAACAGGACAGGCCUCCAAAGAUCCCCUAUUUUUCAUGCUUCACCAUCGUGCUCAGCCGCUUCCUCCAUAUCAUCAUCU
Molecule: non-coding RNA, 3838 nt
Organism: Triticum urartu
Lineage: Eukaryota; Viridiplantae; Streptophyta; Magnoliopsida; Poales; Poaceae
Source: RefSeq, a predicted model, not a curated record